This 489-nucleotide ribosomal RNA is filed under the name uncultured bacterium. RNAcentral's name for it is "partial 16S ribosomal RNA". It matches the Rfam family "Bacterial small subunit ribosomal RNA", at positions 28 to 507 of the family's 1533-position model. The record is from RNAcentral.
GACGAACGCUGGCGGCGUGCUUAACACAUGCAAGUCGAACGGUGAAGGGACCAGCUUGCUGGUUCUGGAUGAGUGGCGAACGGGUGAGUAACACGUGAGUAACCUGCCCCCUUCUUCUGGAUAACCGCAUGAAAGUGUGGCUAAUACGGGAUAUUCUGGGUCUGUCGCAUGGCGGGCCCGGGAAAGAUAUUGCUUCGGUGGGGGAUGGGCUCGCGGCCUAUCAGCUUGUUGGUGGGGUGAUGGCCUACCAAGGCGGUGACGGGUAGCCGGCCUGCGAGGGUGGACGGUCACACUGGGACUGAGACACGGCCCAGACUCCUACGGGAGGCAGCAGUGGGGAAUAUUGCACAAUGGGCGCAAGCCUGAUGCAGCGACGCCGCGUGAGGGAUGGAGGCCUUCGGGUUGUAAACCUCUUUCGCCAGUGAAGCAGGCCUGCUCCUUGUGGGUGGGUUGACGGUAGCUGGAGAAGAAGCGCCGGCUAACUACGUG